RNAcentral lists this non-coding RNA (85 nucleotides) under unclassified sequences. RNAcentral describes it as "c-di-GMP sequence". It matches the Rfam family "c-di-GMP-II-GAG riboswitch aptamer". The record is from Rfam by way of RNAcentral.
GACACUGGGGGAGGCGACGACGCGCGGCCCACACACUGGCCGCCGGGACCGCGCCGAGCCACUGGCGAGACCGACCCGCAGGACU